GAAAUGAAGAGAAGUAAGAGAUUUUGAGGUAAGAGAUUUUGCAGUGGUUGUCUCGAAUUUUGGAGAUUAGGGCUUAAGGUUUUGGUAGAGAGCAAGAAAGAGAGGGUUUUGAUCAAGGAUAGGCUGAAAGGAAGUGUCUACCCAAGAUUUUAUGAUAGAAACUAGAGAUUUUUGGGCAAAUGAAGGAUUGGAUUUAGGAGAUUAUGGCCGGUGGAGAGUUUGGAGAAGAGUUUCAGUUUGGGAUGAGAAG
This 250-nucleotide long non-coding RNA is filed under the name Elaeis guineensis (African oil palm). RNAcentral's name for it is "long non-coding RNA (EGUI_LNC061964)". Lineage: Eukaryota; Viridiplantae; Streptophyta; Magnoliopsida; Arecales; Arecaceae. The record is from RNAcentral.